This is a long non-coding RNA of Capsicum annuum, 505 nucleotides long. RefSeq lists it as uncharacterized. The transcript has 3 exons. Lineage: Eukaryota; Viridiplantae; Streptophyta; Magnoliopsida; Solanales; Solanaceae. The record is from RefSeq and is a predicted model, not a curated record.
AGGUAUAUUUACCCCUUUUCUCUUAUACUUUUUAUUUUCUUAAUGGGCCUAAAAAGUCGUGAGUGCAAAUAAAAAAUAUCUCAUGAAUAAUCUUCACAAUCGGACAGAAAAUAUUUCAUGAAUAAUCUUUACAAUCAGACAGUCUUCCUAACAGAAGAGUAUUUGGAACAAAACAUGAAGUUGGAAAGGUAAAAGGAGAAAAUGAAAAACAGGCGAGGCAGUGUUGGAAGCACUCAGGUGUUGGUCAUACUACACCUCCUACUCAGUGAUUGGACUCGGAAACAACUUGUGUUGACUUGAAGUGGUGAGCUUUCAUACUUUGGAAGGCUCCAUUUCUUUCUUUGAGUUUUCUUAUGUCUUUUUUGGUUUAGAUUGGACAUUGGUUUUGGCUAUGAUCGGGGGCAUGUACCGACAGAAUAUUCUUGGAUUUCUUUUAGAGGCUUUGUAUGGACAAACUGUGGACUUGGUUAUAUUAUGGUAUGGAUAUGGUAUUACUUUUGUUUUA